GCAAUGUGGAAGUGGAUUCCAGGACUACUAGACCAGACGGGUGGGGGAAAAGUCUAGACGAGGCUGAAAUUUUUGACAUAGGUGCCCUCACGUGGGAUUUACAUUUGGCUUAAGCCCUGAGAGGGUGGUUAAUGACUAAUUGAAGCUGGAAUGAGGAUGGUUUAGAAUUAAUCAGGUAAAACUGCUUGAAAUCCCUGGUCUGCUGUACAGGACCGAGAUCAAAGGCUCAGGGAAACGGAACUGUAGAAAAAGAUGUACUGUUUGCAACUGACUCGGCCACCCCCGAAUCACAGCCCCCUCCCGGGAGCGGGCUAGAGGACACUGCAUUGGCGAAUCAUGCAGAAUUGCAGCUCUGCUCAAAUUCUUGGAAUAAAGAACUUCUGUCUGGCUUGUCUGCAAACCAGAGACUCCUGGGACCUCCUCCCUCCUGAGAGCUAGUUGUCCCCUAAAAGCUCCCACCCCCCGCCAUUUUCCAGAGACGGGAGAAGGGCUGGAAAUGGAGUUAAUAAUUGGUCGUGCCUACGUGAGGAAACUGCCACAAAGUCCCAACAGUAUGAGGUUUGGAGAGCUUCCAGGGUGGUGGAUGCAUCCAAGUGCCUGGAGGGUGACGCACCCCAGGUCCAUGGGCACUGAAGACCCUGCACUCAGGACCCUCCCAGACCUCACCCUCUGCAUCUCUUCAUCUGAGUGUUUCUCCGUUUCCCUUAUAACAUCUUUCAUAAACUGUGAACUUUUAAAAAUGUAAAUUGACCUACACUGUGGGAUAUUUAAAGUGACGGGAGAAGAGACAGACUUGGAAUUGCAUUUGAGCAUUUUUAGAACACGAUUCAGUGACCAGAGUGAUUGCCUACUACCCAGAGUACCAUGUAAGGGCUGAAAACAUCUUGAAGGAACGUGGACAAGGAAUGAAGAUCAGGGCCACUCAGCACCUGCGCUCUUUCCAUGGAUGGCACGAGAGGCUUUCAGACACGACACGUCCCAGGGUGACACCAAUGCCCGAGAGAGUGAUGCUCAAACUUGGAUCACACCGGAAUUCCCUGGAUGAGUUGUUAAAGCACAGAUCACUGGCCCUACCCCUGGAGUUUCUGAUUCACAACCGACCCCGACCCACAUCUCCAGGAUCAGUGUCACCGAGCAGCUCUGCCACCUGUGAACGCGGGAAACGAGAUGCACUCUGCAACUUACCACACCUGUUAAGUGAUAUUCCCCGUGCUGUUCGCAUCCAAUGUCAAACACAUACUUUCCAGGGCCAACAGGCUACGAGCAAAGAGAAACCAAGAGGUGCUUCACCCGUGAGUGGCAACACCCAGUAGAAAGUACAAAGAGCUUUAUAAAUGUUACCUUCAUAAAACCUGCCCAAAGGCUUGGAAUUGAGGGAAAGCCAACAUGGAUUAAAGAUGCUUUUUUGAACUGAUGGUUAACAGAAUUGCAAAGUAUAGGUCCUCUUUGGUUUGGUUAAAAAUUUUUUUUCUCUUUAUAAAAGUAAUGUAUUUAUGACAAAAAUUUGACUUAGUCAACACCCAUAGUCAAAUUAGCCAGAAAUAAAACUACCCAUAAUACUUCGAUGUAGUCUCUGUAACCUUGUUCUUAAUAGAGAUUUUAAAAAUAAAAAUCCCAUCGUAAUUACA
Long non-coding RNA from Camelus dromedarius (Arabian camel), 1628 nucleotides. RefSeq lists it as uncharacterized. The transcript has 6 exons. The record is from RefSeq and is a predicted model, not a curated record. Lineage: Eukaryota; Metazoa; Chordata; Mammalia; Artiodactyla; Camelidae.